RNAcentral lists this ribosomal RNA (1120 nucleotides) under Salmonella enterica subsp. enterica. RNAcentral describes it as "partial 23S ribosomal RNA". It matches the Rfam family "Bacterial large subunit ribosomal RNA", at positions 670 to 1781 of the family's 2925-position model. Lineage: Bacteria; Pseudomonadati; Pseudomonadota; Gammaproteobacteria; Enterobacterales; Enterobacteriaceae. RNAcentral also lists the same sequence under 1 other name. The record is from RNAcentral.
AGGGAAACCGAGUCUUAACCGGGCGUUAAGUUGCAGGGUAUAGACCCGAAACCCGGUGAUCUAGCCAUGGGCAGGUUGAAGGUUGGGUAACACUAACUGGAGGACCGAACCGACUAAUGUUGAAAAAUUAGCGGAUGACCUGUGGCUGGGGGUGAAAGGCCAAUCAAACCGGGAGAUAGCUGGUUCUCCCCGAAAGCUAUUUAGGUAGCGCCUCGUGAACUCAUCUCCGGGGGUAGAGCACUGUUUCGGCUAGGGGGCCAUCCCGGCUUACCAACCCGAUGCAAACUGCGAAUACCGGAGAAUGUUAUCACGGGAGACACACGGCGGGUGCUAACGUCCGUCGUGAAGAGGGAAACAACCCAGACCGCCAGCUAAGGUCCCAAAGUCAUGGUUAAGUGGGAAACGAUGUGGGAAGGCCCAGACAGCCAGGAUGUUGGCUUAGAAGCAGCCAUCAUUUAAAGAAAGCGUAAUAGCUCACUGGUCGAGUCGGCCUGCGCGGAAGAUGUAACGGGGCUAAACCAUGCACCGAAGCUGCGGCAGCGACACUAUGUGUUGUUGGGUAGGGGAGCGUUCUGUAAGCCUGUGAAGGUGUGUCGUGAGGCAUGCUGGAGGUAUCAGAAGUGCGAAUGCUGACAUAAGUAACGAUAAAGCGGGUGAAAAGCCCGCUCGCCGGAAGACCAAGGGUUCCUGUCCAACGUUAAUCGGGGCAGGGUGAGUCGACCCCUAAGGCGAGGCCGAAAGGCGUAGUCGAUGGGAAACAGGUUAAUAUUCCUGUACUUGGUGUUACUGCGAAGGGGGGACGGAGAAGGCUAUGUUGGCCGGGCGACGGUUGUCCCGGUUUAAGCGUGUAGGUGUGUGUUCCAGGUAAAUCCGGUUCACUUUAACACUGAGGCGUGAUGACGAGGCACUACGGUGCUGAAGCAACAAAUGCCCUGCUUCCAGGAAAAGCCUCUAAGCAUCAGGUAACAUCAAAUCGUACCCCAAACCGACACAGGUGGUCAGGUAGAGAAUACCAAGGCGCUUGAGAGAACUCGGGUGAAGGAACUAGGCAAAAUGGUGCCGUAACUUCGGGAGAAGGCACGCUGACAUGUAGGUGAAGUGAUUUACUCAUGGAGCUGAA